CGUGACCCCGUGCCAGGGGGCGGGUGAAGAGGGGGGGUGGGAGCGUUGUCCGGAAUGCCUGGGGGGAAAGGGUGCGUAGGCGGUUCGGUAAGUUGCUGGUGAAAGCCCGGGGCUCAACUCCGGGGCUGCCGGCACGACUGCCGGACUUGAGCACGGUAGGGGCAGAUGGAAUUCCCGGUGUAGCGGUGGAAUGCGUAGAGAUCGGGAAGAAUACCAGUGGCGAAGGCGUUCUGCUGGGCCGUUGCUGACGCUGAGGCGCGACAGCGUGGGGAGCAAACAGGAUUAGAUACCCGUGUAGUC
RNAcentral lists this ribosomal RNA (300 nucleotides) under uncultured Neoasaia sp. RNAcentral describes it as "partial 16S ribosomal RNA". It matches the Rfam family "Bacterial small subunit ribosomal RNA", at positions 496 to 795 of the family's 1533-position model. The record is from RNAcentral. Lineage: Bacteria; Pseudomonadati; Pseudomonadota; Alphaproteobacteria; Acetobacterales; Acetobacteraceae.